RNAcentral lists this transfer RNA (72 nucleotides) under Marmota marmota marmota (Alpine marmot). It matches the Rfam family "tRNA". From Rfam's summary of the family: Transfer RNA (tRNA) molecules are approximately 80 nucleotides in length. Their secondary structure includes four short double-helical elements and three loops (D, anti-codon, and T loops). RNAcentral also lists the same sequence under 1 other name. Lineage: Eukaryota; Metazoa; Chordata; Mammalia; Rodentia; Sciuridae. The record is from Rfam by way of RNAcentral.
UGGGUUGUGACUCAGUGGCAGAGUGCUUGCCUUGCACGAAUGAGGCACUGGGUUUGAUCCUCAGCACCACAU